This 136-nucleotide ribosomal RNA is filed under the name Penicillium pancosmium. RNAcentral's name for it is "partial 28S ribosomal RNA". It matches the Rfam family "Eukaryotic large subunit ribosomal RNA", at positions 1 to 135 of the family's 3401-position model. The record is from RNAcentral. Lineage: Eukaryota; Fungi; Ascomycota; Eurotiomycetes; Eurotiales; Aspergillaceae.
UUGACCUCGGAUCAGGUAGGGAUACCCGCUGAACUUAAGCAUAUCAAUAAGCGGAGGAAAAGAAACCAACCGGGAUUGCCCUAGUAACGGCGAGUGAAGCGGCAAGAGCUCAAAUUUGAAAGCUGGCUCCUUCGGG